This is a non-coding RNA of Podarcis lilfordi (Lilford's wall lizard), 5953 nucleotides long. NCBI's taxonomy places the organism in Eukaryota, Metazoa, Chordata, Lepidosauria, Squamata, Lacertidae. The record is from the annotation of a GenBank genome assembly.
CACUGGUGUUCCUGUGCCCAUUAAGCAAUCCAUGAAUCAGGCAUGUGAGUGGAUUCCAUGUAUUAGUCUGGACAAUAGCAAGAUUCCUAUUCAUUUGAUUUGAACAAACUGGACUAUUUAAAAGGACAGUAAAUGCUAAAGACUGUGAAAGGGUUUAGAGUUUAAAGAAGGAAAAUCAACCUGUUACAUAUUUUCAGAACAGUUAAGAUAUGGAAGUGAUAUUAUAAAAGGAUUUAAUCUUGAGGAAACUUAAUGUAUACUCUAACUUUGAAGCUUCAUAUUCCUCUGCAAUUGCUUUUCUCCUUUCCCCAUCCAUAUUCUGCUGUAAGGCACAUAACAGGUCAAAGGAAUUUAGAUGCCUUCAGUGCCAGAUAGCUUGAAAAAUGUUAAUUGCAUCAUGAAAAUGGAGUGUUGUAUCUAAUUACCUGUGUGUGUGUAAUGUCUCUCUAUCUCUUGAAAAUAAAAGAACUAUAUUUCAUUGUACUUUUCAAACUUUUUAAAAACUGACAAUAUUCUCUCAAGAAUAUUAGGUGAGACCUUGUUAAUAUUUUGAAUAUGGAACUGGAUCUAGUAAUAUACAAAUGCAGAAGAUGACAAAUAAUAAUAAUCAAAAGUAUUUGGUGUCCUUAUUCUGUACCUCUUUUCUUGGGAGAAAGGACUGUGGCUUCAGUAGAUGUGAUUUCCAAGUAAGUGUGGUUUGCUCUGUGGUCUACUUUAAAGCAUUUUUAGUGUUUGAUAUUAUCUGUACAUGAUGUGCCUCAUAGGCAGCAUAAUAUGGUAGUGAGCAUACCAUGAGAUGUGCCCAGGCCUGGUAAAAAGACACAUAACCUUGUCUUCUGGACCACCUCUUUAUUCCUCAUGGGAAACCAGCCAGUCUGAUCUGCUCUGGCAUUAGUCCCCUUCAGACUUGAUCUUGGAUCUUGAUCAGCAUGGGCUUCAGGCACAUCUCAAUUGUAACAUGCUGAAACUUCAAUUCAUGCUCUAAAUUUGGAAUCAUCCAGAACAUGCUGCAAUAGAAAAUGAGCAAGAAAAAAUGUUUCAUAGCUUGCAAUCAGUUGCACAACAUAUUGCCAUUUAUGUAUCUUUUAACAUUCCUCUUGCAUCAAGUUUCUCUUUCUCCUUUUUAAUAAUUUAUUGAAACUUCACAGAUGUUUGAGCCAACAACUAUAUAGUUGUUGAUCUUGUAUGUGCACUACAAAACACAUAGAGUGAUAUCCAAUAGCAUCAGUGCACUUGCGUGAUGGGUUUCCUCUCUUCCCGCUGCUGUUCUCCCUGCACCCUUAAAAACUGCUCUGGAGGGUUAAGGAUAUCCUUGGCAGCAGAUGGGGAGGGGGCAGGGGGCAGCAGAGUGGAGAAGAGGAAGAGGGUCUCCCAAAGCACCCAUGGGCAUGACAUUGAAUACUGCCCAUAUGAGCCAUGUUUUUAUCACAACUGAAACCAUGUCUCAGUACAGAGUGCGUCCUUACUUACAGGAAAUAUUUUAUUGAACUUCAGAUGUUUGAUUUGUAAUUGCUGGUCUUGCCUCUUGCAUAUUUCUUCAGCCAGCUCUGCUAGAGAAGCAAUUACAGUCAUACUUUGGAAGUUGAACAGAAUCCAUUCCGGAAGUCCUUUCGACUUCCAAAACGUUUGGAAAACCAAAGUGCAGCUUCCGAUUGGCUGCAGGAAGCUCCUGCAGCCCAUCAGCAGCCCCGUCAGACAUUCAGCUUCCAAAAAUAGUUCACAAGCUGGAACAGUCACUUCCAGGUUUGUGGCAUUUGAGAGCCAAAACGUUCAAGAACUAAGCUGUUCGAAAACCAGGGUAUGACUGUACUAGAAAAAGGUAGCAUAAGCAAUGGCGGAGCUAGCUGCUCCGGCACCUGGAGCGGCGUGCAUCCGGGGGCAGGACUAGUUGCCUGCGGGGGAGGGGCGAGCGUCCUAGGGGUUCUCUGCCUGCACCGAGUGUCCCAGGGGUGCAUGUCCCGGGGGUGUGCCGCCCCUGCCAAUUGUGCUGGGGGGUGGGGCAGCAAUGUCACCCCCCCUCAGGAAUGAUACCCAGGGAGGUCUGCACCCACCGCAUCCACUUUGCUCCACCUCUGAGCAUAAGCAGAAGUAACCACUGUUACAAAAGUUCAGCAAAAAUUGUGAGACUGACUCAAGCAAGGCUAAUUUAAGGAACAAUACAGUGGUACCUUGGGUUAAGUACUUAAUUCGUUCCAGAGGUCCGUUCUUAACCUGAAACUGUUCUCAACCUGAAGCACCACUUUAGCUAAUGGGACCUCCUGCUGCCGCCGUGCCGACAGAGCACUGUUUCUGUUCUCAUCCUGAAGCAAAGUUCUUAACCUGAAGCACUAUUUCUGGGUUAGCGGAGUCUGUAACCUGAAGCGUAUGUAACCCAAAGCGUAUAUAACCUGAGGUACCACUGUAUUUAAAUAUGUUUAAUCCUCUGUGAAAUAAAUAAUAUAACUACCAAGGUUCAACAAGGGAAGUGCUUUUUGUUGUAGAGUGGGAAUGCAUGGUACUGAAAGAGUCUGACGACGGAGCCACUUACAUUUAAAUCUGGUGGUCCUCAUUGCCAUGUUUUUGGAAGAUUAGCUUGAAGAAGUACAUUGCGCUACAACAAAGAGAACUUAUUGCGUGGCAGCAUACACAAUUGUAAUGACUGAAAAGGCAAUAUAUACUCACAACAUGCACACAUUAAAGAUUUAGAACACAUUAGCAAAAUAGCGUGAUGCCUUUCCUACACAAAGACAGCACCACUUCAAAUAUUGGCACAAAUUUUGUACAUGCUAGCUAUCUUUAUCAUCAAGUUUUUAUUUUCAAAUAGAUGAUACUCAGAAUCAGAGGAAGAAACAAUGGCAUAUAUUUUUAUACAGACUAUUUUAAUGUGUAUGCUUGAUUUAGAUCUAUAUUCAACUGUUUGAUUCUGACUGUCAAGUUUUCUAAUCCUUCAAACCAUGGUUUAGAAGAUUAAAAAUUAGUUCUGUGUUUAGACUACUGUACACAGAAAACAAUGGUUUGACCAAUCAGGAAGUAUGCCGAAGGAAAGAGAAAGAGCAAAUGCAUAAGUCUCAGUCCCAGUCCUCCAAAUCAUAGUUUAACCUUUAGAGAUUUGUGGACAAUAACAUCUGAAUGCAGCCACUAUCAUACUUCCAGCCCCUGUUUCUAAGAAAUUUGAUUUUGCUUAUUACUUUCACUGGGAUUAUUGAAGAAUGAAUGGCUUUUUUUCUUUCCAGGAUGUCUGUUUUUUCUUUGCUUUAAUGAACACAUUUUCUCAUUGUUUCUCCACGAGGGAUGUGUGUGGCCUGCAUGAAAUUUAGCUUCUGAUUGUGCAUUCAGUAGAUAAUAGGCACAAAAAAUGAUCUAAUGGUUUGUCUCAUUGCAUGGUACCAUAUUAAACAUUCACAUUGCAUAUUUUGAUCUGUUGACUUGGAAUGCGACAAAAUCAUAGAAUCAAAGAGUUGGAAGGGAUCUCCAUGUGUGUGUGUGUGUGUGUGUGUGUGUGUGUGAGAUCUGUCCCAACCCCCUUCAAUGCAGGAAUCUCAACACAUACUGCCCCAUCCAGUUUGAAACCAUACCUGACCCUGCGUAGCUUUGCAAAUGUGCUAGAAGUUGCACCACUAAUAGACAAAUUUAAUAUUGAAUGUUUAAGUAAAAGAAUUCAGUGCUCAUCAGUGAGAAGCUACACUUAAGCAACCUUAUCUUUUCAUGUAGCAUGGUCUGAGGUCAAGGUCAAACUAUACUUCUCUAUUUUAUGGCUAUUAGUUUAACCACAGCCUCACGAUAGCCUCUGCUUGUUAAAAAGCUUUGGAGAGGAAAGCAUGUGUACGUAAUCUGAGUUGUGGUCUCUUUCAUACAGUAUUUGCAAGCUUUCGUAUACUGUCCCCCGUAUUUUCCCUUGUGAGCCGCAGGAGGGUAAUGUAUUGCCUUGCUACAAUUGCUCCAUUCCAAACAAAUGUAUUUCUGUUUUGUUUGGUCAGGAAGUGUAUCAAGAAACAACAUUUAUCAAUCUGUCCCCGUUGACACUUUUGGUUAGGCUUUACAUGUAUCUGGGCAGAUCGUCUGUCUGGAUUUGUAGCAGUCCUAAAAGGCAUUGUAAUAUUAAGAUUGCAGGCUCUCGAUCAAGGCCAGAGUUAGUUUGCAGGUGAUUGCUGGACUGAAGAAGAAGUGUGGAAUUGCUUUCCACUGGAGACACAGGAGCAGGAAGAUGAAAAGGGGGACAAGCAGGGCCUGUUUCUGAGGAAAAUUUCAAGCAGACACUUUCUAUGACUGAGCCUUACUUCAGGCUCUGCUUCCUAUUGUAUUUUAUAUGCUGAAGUUUAGGGAAAAUGGCUUUCAUUUUUCAUAAUUUCUAAGCUUUCUGUGUUUCUGACAUUAGUAUUCCCUCCUUUUAAUCUCUGUUUUUAAAUAGUCAAGAUGUUAGGUCUCACCACUAUGUUGUCAUUGAAGAAAUGUGCUCUCCGCCUCAUCCAUACUGCUUCCUGUAAUUCUCUGUGCUGUUAACAGAAGCAUGCUUAUCUUGAAUUCAUAUAUUUGAACUCCACUGUAUCAGCAGCCUGUCAGGUGACCCAUGGAGCUGAUGACACCUCACCUUAAACAGUUCACUCUGAGCAACGCAUCUCUACGGUACGCACCAGGCUAGGGUAGGCUACUAUCAUAUUUACCUACUUGCCUCCCUGCUUCCUUGCCCCAUAUCCAUUUCUACUAUCCUGAAGCUGCUUCUGGAAAUUCUUUUCAUUCUGCCUCUGGGUGGUAUCAUUGCCUUUUGCUUCUCAUGGCCCUGAUGCUGUUGCAGCAUUGGACUGACUAGUCACCAUCUCUAGCAAAAAAAAUUGCAAAGGCUAGUGGCAGCCACAACAGAAAAGCUUACCAUUAAAAAUAAACAAAUAAAGGCUUUAAAUGUUUUGUUUUUUUUAGUUUACAAAGCUUAUAAGCAUGUUGAAAUGUGAAGUUAUUUCCUGUCUUGCUUUCAGUUUUUAUUAUAUUUUUUAUUUAUGCAAAAUCAUUGAGAUGCCUAUAAAAUAUAUUUGUAGGUUUUCCCUUUUGAUAAAUAUGACAGUAAGUGAACAUCAUUAAACGACCCUCUCCUUACAUUAAAGGGUGGAAAGAGGAGAUUGGAGUUGAACUUGUUUGCUGUGAAUCAUGGGUAUGUUUGUAGUAGAAAUAUGACUUCUUGGAGCAAAAUGAAUGUGCAAACGUAUUUUUAUUAUUGUGACUAAAUGCAAGUAAAUUCCUGCACACUGUCAUAGUCAUAGGGGCCUAUGGAUCAUAAACUUCAGUCUAUUUGUAUGCCACUUGGACGAUUCAGUGGCAUUAUCAGAGAGAAGGAACAAGGAAGGCACUUAAAUUUAGAAAUUGUUCUUGUUACUGAAUGUCAGAUAAAGGUGAAGUUUUUAAAAGAGGAAUCUUCCUGAUUUACUGUCUUUAAUGAGCACAUGGAAGGAUGUGCUGAGCACAUCAUUAGUGUGACAGGGUGAAAGGGGCAACAUGUUUCUUCUGUUGCAAUGGAAAGAGGAUGAAUCUGGCACAGCUCUGAUGUCAGAACCUCCAUCACCUUUCUCACAGAUGAUGUAGAUUUUAAUUGUACUCCGGGCUGAUUCGCAUCGCACCAGCUCCUAUGUGACAUUGAGAUAGAUGAAGCCAUUUGUUGGCAUUAUCUGAGCCAGCUGUGUGCUUGGCGGCAGCUACAGUAGGCAUUACAUCUCAUGCAUAAUCCCCUCAUUGAAAGAGUAGCACAAGCAUCUGAACCAUAUGGCAAAUAAUUUUAUUAUGAUCAGAAAAAGGACUCUUGGAACUAGUUAAGCAAGAGAGUCCUUGAAAUGCAAUCAGAAGAGUGCUUUCCUCAAUUUUCUUAUAGCAUUAUCAUAUUAACUUUAAUUUUUAGUUCUGUUUUAGUCUUUGGGGGAAAUGGAAUUCCUUUUUGUUUCACAAAGGAUUUGCCCUCCCCCAGUUAGAAGAUAGUGUGUUGUUUUACUUU